GAAAUGCGAUAAGUAAUGUGAAUUGCAGAAUUCAGUGAAUCAUCGAAUCUUUGAACGCACAAUGCGCUCGCCAGUAUUCUGGCGAGCAUGCCUGUUCGAGCGUCAUUUCAACCAUCAAGCUCUGCUUGCGUUGGGGAUCCGCGGCUGCCCGCGGUCCCUCAAAAACAGUGGCGGGCUCGCUAGUCACACCGAGCGUAGUAACUCUACAUCGCUAUGGUCGUGCGGCGGGUUCUUGCCGUAAAACCCCCAAUUUCUAAGGUUGACCUCGGAUCAGGUAGGAAUACCCGCUGAACUUAAGC
This 299-nucleotide unclassified non-coding RNA is filed under the name plant metagenome. RNAcentral's name for it is "partial contains 5.8S ribosomal RNA, internal transcribed spacer 2, and large subunit ribosomal RNA". The stretch from base 1 to 105 matches the Rfam family "5.8S ribosomal RNA", at positions 50 to 154 of the family's 154-position model. The record is from RNAcentral.